Molecule: ribosomal RNA, 1385 nt
Filed under: uncultured bacterium
Lineage: Bacteria
Description: bacterial SSU rRNA
Rfam family: Bacterial small subunit ribosomal RNA
Source: RNAcentral
GACGAACGCUGGCGGCGUGCCUAAUACAUGCAAGUCGAGCGAGCGGAACUAACAGAUUUACUUCGGUAAUGACGUUAGGAAAGCGAGCGGCGGAUGGGUGAGUAACACGUGGGGAACCUGCCCCAUAGUCUGGGAUACCACUUGGAAACAGGUGCUAAUACCGGAUAAGAAAGCAGAUCGCAUGAUCAGCUUUUAAAAGGCGGCGUAAGCUGUCGCUAUGGGAUGGCCCCGCGGUGCAUUAGCUAGUUGGUAAGGUAAAGGCUUACCAAGGCGAUGAUGCAUAGCCGAGUUGAGAGACUGAUCGGCCACAUUGGGACUGAGACACGGCCCAAACUCCUACGGGAGGCAGCAGUAGGGAAUCUUCCACAAUGGACGCAAGUCUGAUGGAGCAACGCCGCGUGAGUGAAGAAGGUUUUCGGAUCGUAAAGCUCUGUUGUUGGUGAAGAAGGAUAGAGGUAGUAACUGGCCUUUAUUUGGCGGUAAUCAACCAGAAAGUCACGGCUAACUACGUGCCAGCAGCCGCGGUAAUACGUAGGUGGCAAGCGUUGUCCGGAUUUAUUGGGCGUAAAGCGAGCGCAGGCGGAAGAAUAAGUCUGAUGUGAAAGCCCUCGGCUUAACCGAGGAACUGCACCGGAAACUGUUUUUCUUGAGUGCAGAAGAGGAGAGUGGAACUCCAUGUGUAGCGGUGGAAUGCGUAGAUAUAUGGAAGAACACCAGUGGCGAAGGCGGCUCUCUGGUCUGCAACUGACGCUGAGGCUCGAAAGCAUGGGUAGCGAACAGGAUUAGAUACCCUGGUAGUCCAUGCCGUAAACGAUGAGUGCUAAGUGUUGGGAGGUUUCCGCCUCUCAGUGCUGCAGCUAACGCAUUAAGCACUCCGCCUGGGGAGUACGACCGCAAGGUUGAAACCCAAAGGAAUUGACGGGGGCCCGCACAAGCGGUGGAGCAUGUGGUUUAAUUCGAAGCAACGCGAAGAACCUUACCAGGUCUUGACACCUAGUGCCAUUUGUAGAGAUACAAAGUUCCCUUCGGGGACGCUAAGACAGGUGGUGCAUGGCUGUCGUCAGCUCGUGUCGUGAGAUGUUGGGUUAAGUCCCGCAACGAGCGCAACCCUUGUUAUUAGUUGCCAGCAUUAAGUUGGGCACUCUAAUGAGACUGCCGGUGACAAACCGGAGGAAGGUGGGGAUGGCGUCAAGUCAUCAUGCCCCUUAUGACCUGGGCUACACACGUGCUACAAUGGGCAGUACAACGAGAAGCGAGCCUGCGAAGGCAAGCGGACCUCUGAAAGCUGUUCUCAGUUCGGACUGCAGUCUGCAACUCGACUGCACGAAGCUGGAAUCGCUAGUAAUCGCGGAUCAGCACGCCGCGGUGAAUACGUUCCCGGGCCU